GGUUUCGAUCAUACCAGCACUAAUGCACCGGAUCCCAUCAGAACUCCGCAGUUAAGCGUGCUUGGGCGAGAGUAGUACUAGGAAGGUGACCCCCCUGGGAAGUCCUCGUGUUGCAACCCCUUUUUUUUCGUUUUUUUGUUCUGCGCGCGCACGGCGGGCUCGAGGCGCGUGACAUAGGCCACGCAUGAGGGCGUAGGUGGGCAUGGGAUCAAGGCGUCGAAAGGUAUAAAGGAAUAAGGAGAUGGUAUUCUUCCGGUUGCGAUCAUACCAGCACUAAUGCACCGGAUCCCAUCAGAACUCCGCAGUUAAGCGUGCUUGGGCGAGAGUAGUACUAGGAAGGUGACCCCCCUGGGAAGUCCUCGUGUUACAACCC
Molecule: long non-coding RNA, 373 nt
Filed under: Helianthus annuus (common sunflower)
Lineage: Eukaryota; Viridiplantae; Streptophyta; Magnoliopsida; Asterales; Asteraceae
Source: RNAcentral